GGUGGUGUAGCCUAAUGGUAGGGUACCGGCUUACAAAACCGGAUAUGUGGGUUCGAAUCCCACCAUCACCA
This is a non-coding RNA of Acanthoscelides obtectus, 71 nucleotides long. Lineage: Eukaryota; Metazoa; Arthropoda; Insecta; Coleoptera; Chrysomelidae. The record is from the annotation of a GenBank genome assembly.